RNAcentral lists this ribosomal RNA (253 nucleotides) under uncultured bacterium. Its description in RNAcentral is "partial 16S ribosomal RNA". It matches the Rfam family "Bacterial small subunit ribosomal RNA", at positions 524 to 776 of the family's 1533-position model. The record is from RNAcentral.
UACGUAGGUGGCAAGCGUUGUCCGGAUUUACUGGGCGUAAAGAGCGCGCAGGCGGUCGUACAAGUCGCGUGUGAAAGCCCCCGGCUCAACUGGGGAGGGUCACGCGAUACUGUUCGACUCGAAGGCAGGAGAGGGUAGUGGAAUUCCCGGUGUAGUGGUGAAAUGCGUAGAUAUCGGGAGGAACACCAGUGGCGAAGGCGACUACCUGGCCUGUUCUUGACGCUGAGGCGCGAAAGCUAGGGGAGCAAACGGG